GAUGAACGCUGGCGGCGUGCUUAACACAUGCAAGUCGAACGAAGCACUUUAACCUGAUUCUUCGGAUGAAGGUUUUUGUGACUGAGUGGCGGACGGGUGAGUAACGCGUGGGUAACCUGCCUCAUACAGGGGGAUAACAGUUAGAAAUGACUGCUAAUACCGCAUAAGACCACAGAGCCGCAUGGCUCAGUGGGAAAAACUCCGGUGGUAUGAGAUGGACCCGCGUCUGAUUAGGUAGUUGGUGGGGUAACGGCCUACCAAGCCAACGAUCAGUAGCCGACCUGAGAGGGUGACCGGCCACAUUGGGACUGAGACACGGCCCAAACUCCUACGGGAGGCAGCAGUGGGGAAUAUUGCACAAUGGGGGAAACCCUGAUGCAGCGACGCCGCGUGAGCGAAGAAGUAUUUCGGUAUGUAAAGCUCUAUCAGCAGGGAAGAAA
Molecule: ribosomal RNA, 440 nt
Filed under: uncultured bacterium
Lineage: Bacteria
Description: bacterial SSU rRNA
Rfam family: Bacterial small subunit ribosomal RNA
Source: RNAcentral